This 253-nucleotide ribosomal RNA is filed under the name uncultured bacterium. Its description in RNAcentral is "partial 16S ribosomal RNA". It matches the Rfam family "Bacterial small subunit ribosomal RNA", at positions 524 to 776 of the family's 1533-position model. The record is from RNAcentral.
UACGGGGGGGGCAAGCGUUGUUCGGAAUUACUGGGCGUAAAGAGCUCGUAGGCGGUCUGUCGCGUCGGCUGUGAAAACCCGAGGCUCAACCUCGGGCCUGCAGUCGAUACGGGCAAACUAGAGUACUGCAGGGGAGACUGGAAUUCCUGGUGUAGCGGUGAAAUGCGCAGAUAUCAGGAGGAACACCGGUGGCGAAGGCGGGUCUCUGGGCAGUAACUGACGCUGAGGAGCGAAAGCGUGGGGAGCGAACAGG